GCUCCAAUUGUGUAAAUAUACAUUUCUAUAAAUAUAAAUUCCUUUGUUCUGAAUGACUGAAGGAUCAAACCACAACUUAAACCAUUGAUCGUAGAUAUCUCUAAUUUAGAGGGUGAUAAGUAAGACCUGUGAUGUGGAUCUGGGACCGGUCUUUUCGAAAAAAAAAUCGAUUUAUGGUUCAAUUUACAUGAAAUUUGGUGCAAACAUAGGUUGCUCUUGUCUAAAUUGAUGUCUCGAACACCUUUUCUUCCGGGUAGUUGGCUUGGAAUCGAUUCGAUGAUCCGGCCGGUUUUGCUUAAUAUAUGUAUAUAGAACAUAUGUAGGUGUGUCUUUCCGGAAGCCGUUCUCUCCGAAAGAAUUAUAUUUAUCUAUUACACACAUCUAUAUUGCUCAGAGGGCUGACUCCGUUCCGCCAGGUUUCAGCAGCUUAUAAUGAGCAAUUUUCUACCAAAUCAUCCACCAUAUGCACAGCAACAGUGUUUGCCGUCAACGACGGUCAAUCAAUUCAUCUAGCACUCCAACUUCGAGCUUCUUUAAGUGGUCUAUAUUUUUUUAAGUAAUUCGAAACUUUUACGUGAGUGAUUCCUAAAGCCUCUACUAUCGCCCGACAGAUCGCAUGUCGGACUUGCUUCACUAGCUGUGGAAUUUCAACUGCUUUUUGAGUGACUGGACGGCCAGAACGUGGCGAAUUUCUGAAAUCAAAAUGUCCGCGCUUUCACUUUUUCCAUAGUAAAACGGCAUCACAAAAUUUACUUCUUCGGAAAUUUCAAUCAUUUUCAAAUCAAAAUAACUUUUCACAUUAAAGACAAUUGAAUUGAUUGCUUGAAAUGUCAGCUUUCCAACAAUGCUUAGUUCCAUACAAUGGGAUUAGUGUAUCAACUAAGGUAUCAAAGAACCGCGGAGACUUUUGCACUUAACCAAAAUUUUCAAGUUAUGAGCAAACCAGCUUCAUAGAAUGACCUUUCAGCCUGCCUCGGGUUAGAGCUGUGCUAGGAAAAUUGUGGAAGCAAAAGGCAUAUUUAAUGCCAGAGGACUGAGAGCAAACUGGAGCAAAGUAUAUUCACUCGCAUGGCUGGGAAACUGCCUUCGAUCCAGUACGUCUUCCAAAUACAAAUACAAAGUUCUUCUAAGCUCGCGGCUCUUGCCUGCUUGCAACGCCAGAAAUAAACUCAUUGUUGUCAGUUGAAAAAAUCUACGCAGGUCUUCUUUUUAUUCUUCCAAAUAUUAUUUAAUAAAAUAGUUUAGAAUAGUGCAUAGUUUUAGGCGUUUUUGUUUUUUUUUACAAAUGCACAACGGAGCCACAAAGAAAUAAGCUUCCAAUUUUUUUAACAUUUCCUUUUUUCUUAAAUUUAUUUAUCAAAAAAAAAAAAGUAAUAACAAUAAAAAUUAAUAUACAAUUUUUUAGAAACUCUUAAAGCCAACAACUACCAUAUGUUAACCGCUAAUUGUUUGUUUGUAUACAUAAGAUGUCUGUUUGUGAGCGAGAGUAUA
This is a long non-coding RNA of Ceratitis capitata (Mediterranean fruit fly), 1491 nucleotides long. RefSeq lists it as uncharacterized. The record is from RefSeq and is a predicted model, not a curated record. NCBI's taxonomy places the organism in Eukaryota, Metazoa, Arthropoda, Insecta, Diptera, Tephritidae. The transcript is spliced from 2 exons.